UACGAAGGGGGCUAGCGUUGCUCGGAAUCACUGGGCGUAAAGCGCACGUAGGCGGACUCUUAAGUCAGGGGUGAAAUCCUGGAGCUCAACUCCAGAACUGCCUUUGAUACUGAGAGCCUUGAGUCCGGAAGAGGUAAGUGGAACUGCGAGUGUAGAGGUGAAAUUCGUAGAUAUUCGGAAGAACACCAGUGGCGAAGGCGGCUCACUGGUCCGGUACUGACGCUGAGGUGCGAAAGCGUGGGGAGCAAACAGG
Molecule: ribosomal RNA, 253 nt
Filed under: uncultured bacterium
Lineage: Bacteria
Description: partial 16S ribosomal RNA
Rfam family: Bacterial small subunit ribosomal RNA
Source: RNAcentral